GAGUCUGCCAAAGCCUUGCCUUCAGGACCUGCUCUCUGCCUCCAGUGGCUGAGUGCCCUUUGCGGAGCAAGGAGGAAUUCUGGUGCCAGGUGCAUUCCCGCUCCUAGGCGCUAAGGUGCCCCGAAGACUGUUGCCACCCACACAGCCCCUCGGAAAUGCCACACUCCGAAAGAGAUCGCAGAUUAGCGUUUGUGAGCACUGACCAUGAUGGGCAGACAGGAAGUGACCAGAAGCAGAGUCGCCCAUGUGAGGGACUUGUGACGGUGUAGACCCAGUUCUACCUCAGUCCAUCCAAACUGGAGCCUCCUUUCUGCCAGCACUCCCCACGCCCCACCUCUACCUCCCAGGUAGUCUCUCCCAGCCACUCAACACCUAGAAACUGGUCUCUGCCUUCCCUUGGGGACAUCUGGGAACACUGGAUUGGGAAGGAAGAACCAACAGGUGGCUGGCAUCAUGAGUAGGGGGAGGGCAGAGAUAACAGAGAGAGGGUGACAGCGAUGAGGGCACGCAGACUGCUGGGCCAGACAAUCUCAGUUCAUUCCCAAUGGUGGCCAUUGGCGACCUGUCUUAACUCACACAACCCCCAAACUUGACCCUUGGCUUUGAGUGGGUCCAACCGCAAAGCAUGAAAGUGCUUCUCUGAAGCCACAGGGGGCUUGUUCACCUACAAGGAAUCCUCAGAGAAAAGAUCCUGCAUCUCCCAGAUUAGCCUCCUUCCCACCCUUCCUGCGUCCUCACUUGACUAUUGAUUGGCACAGUUGGCUAACCAGAUAUCAUCACUGUGAGAAGAGGGAGACCCUGGUCAUAGCGAUUCCAUGUCCUAGAAUUCCAUGGACCUGGGUGACAACCCUGUUUAAGAGCUGGGGGAAUAUUCAUUCCUCAUGGCUCAUGUUUCAUGCUGGGGGAAUAUUCAUUCCUCAUGGACUCUCCAUUUCCAUGAGUGACGAUAUAGAGAAAGCCCAUUCUCCUCUUUUUCUCCUUCCCCCUUGUGUCCUCCGUGGAAGAUGAAUGAUUUAACCUUUUGGUAGAUUGGAAGGGAGGAUGUAAGAAAGCUCACACUGGACCUUCUGGGUUAGCCUGAACUCAGAAUAUCUGUUCUCUGAGGUAAGUUUACAGGAGUCAGCUCUGUCCUGGCAGAGGGGUCCCACAGACACCCCCAUCUGCCCAGGAAAUGCAUAGCUCCUCAAGCUUCACAACGUGGCUUCAGCAAAUGAACCCAGAAGCCUAAAUUCUAUGCAUUAUUUUCCCCUUAGUUUUAAGCUUUGCUCCUAUAUGGAAGACGGUGAGAGUUAACCUAUCUGUUCUGAGUUUGAACCUGGUCCUAGCUAUGGGAACUGUUUGGGGAGAAUGUGAAGUCCUUAAGAAGUGGCAUCUGGGUAGUGGUAAAGGGUCGCUGGGGGCAGGCUCUCGGAGGGGUAGCCCAGGCCCAAUUCUGGUCUAGCAAUCUUGGCUUCCUGAUACUCUGUGAUGCGAGUAGCAUCACACACACACCCCUCUCUAUCCCAUGGAACAUUGAAACCUCCACAAACCAUUUGCCUGAAUGAACCUUUCUUCCCCUGAGUUGCUUCUGUCACAGGGUUGAAAAAAGUGACUAAGUUUCAACAUGGCAACCUAUGAAAUCAAGACCUCUAAUGAACCUGGCCUGGCAUUUUCCAGGCUCUUCUCCUGGAAGUCUUAUGGGAAUCUCUUGGGCAAAUGGGUACAUCUUUUAGCUCUGCAAUUGGAAGGAUCCUCCUUGUGUGAUGAAAUUGUCCCAGCAAGACCUUGGUUCCAGACAUGAAACCUGCUCAUCAGGACCUUCCUACUUAUUUAGUUUCUCCCAGGGAAUGGGAGAGAAUAAUUUAGCUGGAACCUCACUUUGGCCCCCACACCCUCACAGCAUCUCCAGAUCCUGAGAGUUUUCUCUCCCAGGAGCCUCUGCGGAGUUCACAUACUUUACUUGCGCUUCUGCUUGCAUAAAGAUGAACUCCCACUUCCGGGCAAAGGCCCUCUGGAGUCUUGCUAAGUUUUCCUGGUGGGAAAUAAAAAUCAAUAAGGCAGU
RNAcentral lists this long non-coding RNA (2041 nucleotides) under Mus pahari (shrew mouse). RNAcentral describes it as "predicted gene 29530 (MGP_PahariEiJ_G0003869.1)". The record is from RNAcentral. Lineage: Eukaryota; Metazoa; Chordata; Mammalia; Rodentia; Muridae.